Mangifera indica (mango) is the source of this 3120-nucleotide RNA transcript. It is a transcript of the gene named putative pentatricopeptide repeat-containing protein At1g13630, with no coding region annotated. The transcript is spliced from 3 exons. The record is from RefSeq and is a predicted model, not a curated record. Lineage: Eukaryota; Viridiplantae; Streptophyta; Magnoliopsida; Sapindales; Anacardiaceae.
UUGCCUCUGCAUCAAUCUUUGCCCUAAAACCCUGACUCUUCUGGACAUUCAAAAUUGCCGGGAAACUAACGGCUCUCUUAAACCCUUAUUAUUAUCAUCAUUUUAUAAUUCGAUUCUCAAAUCGGUUUCUCUGUUAAACCCUAAACCCCUUCAACAUUUCGCCAGAAACAAACAGAAAAUAUAUAUGUAUAAAGCCACAUCCUUUAAUCCUAGAACUACUUAUUUUAAUGCUCAUCAAAUGGGCUCCUUUCCAUUUAUCUAUCAAACGACAAAUCAUCUACCCUCUCUCUUCCUUGGUCUUUCCUAAACCCUCAGUCACUGCCGCACAUCUCUCCAGAGACGAACACGCCACCUCCACUGCCUUAAUUGAUGCAAACCGUAAUGACCCAGUUUGCGAAAUUGUUGCAAAUAUAAAAAAUUUAGGGUUUAAGAGACUUAUUGAUUUGGGUUAUUUGAGAAAUACUGUAUUGAGUCUGAGCGAGUCUCAGUUUGAUCAGAUUUUCUAUUGUUUGAGGGUUGAGAGUCCAAAUUAUGUGGUGGCGUUUUUUGAUUGGUUGAAUAUUGAGUUCGGGUUUAAGCUUCCUCCGGUUUCGAGAUUUAUUGUUUCACAUGUUUUGGCGGGUGAGAGGAGAUUCAAGGAGUUAAGGUCGGUCUUAGAGCAAAUGUUGCGAAAGGAAGGCUCUGGUUCAGCUCCCUUCCUUUGUGAGAUUCUAUUGAAUGGCUUUAGGGGCUGGGAGACAAACAGAGAGGUAUGGGAUAUGUUGGCAUUUGUUUAUUUAAGAUCUGAGAUGGUUCAUGAUGCCCUUUUUGUACUUGUGAAAAUGAAAGACUUGGACUUGAGAGCUUCAAUUCAAACAUAUAACAGUCUUUUGUACAAUUUAAGGCGCACUGAUAUUAUGUGGGAUGUAUAUCAUGAUAUCAAAGUUAGUGAGACUCCUAUGAAUGAAUAUACUAAUUCCAUACUGAUAAAUGGCUUAUGCCAGCAGUCCAGACUACAAGAUGCAGUUUUGUUCUUUCAGGAGACUGCAGGGGAGAAGUUUGGGCCUUCUGUUGUUUCUUUGAAUACCAUCAUGUCUGGGUACUGUAAACUGGGUUUUGCUGAAGCUGCAAAGGGUUUUUUUGGUAUGAUGAUCAAGUAUGGCCUGCGUCCUGAUUUGUAUAGUUAUAAUAUUCUUAUUCAUGGUUUGAGUGUAGCUGGUUCCAUGGAAGAAGCAUUAGAGUUCACAAGUGACAUGGACAGGCAUGGGGUGGAGCCUGAUACAGUAACCUACAGAAUUCUUGCCAAAGGAUUUAAUUUGCUUGCUCGCAUGAGUGGAGCUUGGAAGGUCUUUCAGAAAAUGCUUAUUAGAGGUUUGAAUCCAGAUCUUGUUGCAUACACAGUCCUGAUUUGCGGGCAUUGCCAGAUAGGGAACAUUCAGGAAGGAUUAAAGUUGCGAGAAGAGUUGCUCUCAAAGGGUUUUCAGAUGAAUGCCAUCUCAUACAGUGUACUACUCAGCAGCCUAUGUAAAUGUGGAAGAGUCGAGGAAGCAUUGAGACUUUUUUAUGAAAUGGAAGCUACUGGCUUAAAGCCCGAUCUUGUGACAUAUUCAAUCCUCAUUCAUGGUCUUUGCAAGCAAGAAAGAAUCCAAAAUGCUAUCCAACUAUAUGAUGAAAUGUGCUCCAUGAGAAUCACCCCUAAUUCUUUUGCACAAGGUGCUAUUCUUCAGGGCCUGUGCAAGAAAGAAAUGAUAUCAGAGGCAAGACUGUAUUUUGAUACUCUUACAAAAAGUGACUUGACACAGGAUAUUAUUUUGUACAAUAUGAUGAUUGAUGCAUAUGUUAAAAGCCGUAGCAUUGGGGAGGCUGUCCGGUUGUACAAACAACUAACUGAAAGAAGAAUUAGUCCUAGUAUAAUCACUUUUAAUUCCCUUAUUUACGGAUUCUGCAAGAUGGGAAAAGUAGCCGAAGCUAGAAAGUUGUUGGAUACUAUCAAAUUGCAUGGGUUGGAACCGAGUGCAGUAACAUAUACCACUCUUAUGAAUGCAUACUGUGAAGAAGGAAACAUGCAUAGCUUGUUUGAAUUACUGAGAGAAAUGGAAACAAAAACUAUAGAACCAACUCAUGUUACUUACACUGUACUUAUCAAAGGAUUCUGCAGACAGUGGAAGCUGCAAGAAGCCAUUCAAUUAUUUGACGAUAUGUUAGCUAAAGGUCUAACUCCUGAUGAAAUCACAUUUAAUACCCUCAUCCACAGUUUCUGCAAAUGUAAAGAUGUAAGAAAAGCUUUUCAGUUACUCAAUGAGAUGUUGCUGCAUAAUCUUGAGCCUACACCUGUUACAUAUAAUAUUCUCAUAAAUGGUCUUUGUGUAUAUGGUGAGCUGAAAGAUGCAGAUAGUCUACUCUUUUCUCUUCAGGAACGUAAUAUCAAUUUGACAAAAGUUGCUUAUACAACAAUAAUCAAAGCACAUUGUGUCAAGGGCAAUGUGGACAAUGCAGUAAUAUUCUUUCGUCAAAUGGUAGAGAAGGGGUUUGAAAUUUCAAUAAGAGACUAUAGUGCUGUGAUCAAUAGACUGUGCAAAAGGUGUUUAUUUACUGAAGCAAAAUUUUUUUUCUGCAUGAUGAUGUCUGAUGGCUUGCCUCCCGAUCAAGAGAUAUGUGAAAGGAUGCUUAAUGCCUUUCAUCAAGGUGGUGAUAUCAAUUCAUUUUAUGAACUGGUAGCUAAGGUGAUCAAAUUUGGUGUAUUUGAUGAUAAAUUAAUGAGGAAGUAAUCAUUCUGAUAUAUCUCAUUGUUGCAUAGAUCGGCUGGUGAAUUGACAUCCAAUUUUACUGCAUGAGGAAAUGGGACUGGGCUUUGAGUAGUUCAUGGAACUUUGAAAUAUUCAGGUUUGAGCAAUGCAUGAUGAUUGAUAAAUCAUGGUCCAAAUUUAAAUUGUAUUAACUUAUACUCCUUAAAUGGAGAAACACAUUAAUCUAAAGAUCAAGUCAAGAUAAAGAGAUUGAGUGAAUAUAGAAAGAAGUGAAGAUGGAGAUUUGGUAAAAUAGGGUUUUGUUUAGAUUCGAGCUCAUUUUUAUUAAGUGAAAAUGAGUUAAGUAAUUUUUUUGGGCUUGGUCUUGAAUUAGUGUAAAAAUAUAUCAACCUAA